RNAcentral lists this ribosomal RNA (468 nucleotides) under uncultured bacterium. Its description in RNAcentral is "partial 16S ribosomal RNA". It matches the Rfam family "Bacterial small subunit ribosomal RNA", at positions 28 to 507 of the family's 1533-position model. The record is from RNAcentral.
GACGAACGCUGGCGGCGUGCUUAACACAUGCAAGUUGAACGGAAAGGCCCUGCUUUUGUGGGGUGCUCGAGUGGCGAACGGGUGAGUAACACGUGAGUAACCUGCCCUUGACUUUGGGAUAACUUCAGGAAACUGGGGCUAAUACCGGAUAGGAGCUCCUGCUGCAUGGUGGGGGUUGGAAAGUUUCGGCGGUUGGGGAUGGACUCGCGGCUUAUCAGCUUGUUGGUGGGGUAGUGGCUUACCAAGGCUUUGACGGGUAGCCGGCCUGAGAGGGUGACCGGCCACAUUGGGACUGAGAUACGGCCCAGACUCCUACGGGAGGCAGCAGUGGGGAAUAUUGCACAAUGGGCGGAAGCCUGAUGCAGCAACGCCGCGUGCGGGAUGACGGCCUUCGAGUUGUAAACCGCUUUCGCCUGUGACGAAGCGUGAGUGACGGUAAUGGGUAAAGAAGCACCGGCUAACUACGUG